RNAcentral lists this ribosomal RNA (461 nucleotides) under uncultured bacterium. RNAcentral's name for it is "bacterial SSU rRNA". It matches the Rfam family "Bacterial small subunit ribosomal RNA", at positions 29 to 506 of the family's 1533-position model. The record is from RNAcentral.
AUGAACGCUGGCGGCGUGCCUAAUCCAUGCAAGUCGAACGGAGGGUGUAGCAAUAUACUCUUAGUGGCGAACGGGUGAGUAACGCGUUGGUGACCUGCCCCGAAGUGUGGGAUAACAGUUCGAAAGGAUUGCUAAUACCGCAUGUGAUCUUUGAGAUUAGAAGCUUGAAGAUUAAAGGACGAAAGUCCGCUACGGGAGGGGCCUGCGUCCCAUCAGCUAGUUGGUAAGGUAAUGGCUUACCAAGGCGAUGACGGGUAGGGGACCUGAGAGGGUGACCCCCCACAAUGGAACUGAAACACGGUCCAUACACCUACGGGUGGCAGCAGGAGGGAAUAUUGGUUAAUGUGCGAAAGCGCGAACCAGCAACGCCGCGUGCGCGAUGACGGCCUUCGGGUUGUAAAGCGCUUUUUGAGGGGAUGAGAAAGGACAGUACCCUCAGAAUAAGCCUCGGCUAACUACGU